UUCCCCUCUCUCUCUCACUAUUCUCUCUCUCUCUAGGAAAGAAAGGAAAGAAGGAGAAGAAGAAAGAGAAGAAAGAAAAGAAGGAAAAGAGGAAGAAGUAGAAGGAGAAGUCCAAGAAGAAGAAGAAGAAGGUCUUCUUCUCUCUCUCCUUCAACCUAGGACAAGCUUGAAGCUUGGGUUAGAGGUAAGCUCCAAACCCUUUGAUGGUAAUUCUAGGGUUUUGGAUUUUUAAGGUUUAGAAUUGGUUCAAAUGGAACCUGUUAGGGAUAAAUAGAAGGUUCGAGCUCGAAAUCGAAG
Molecule: long non-coding RNA, 297 nt
Filed under: Ananas comosus (pineapple)
Lineage: Eukaryota; Viridiplantae; Streptophyta; Magnoliopsida; Poales; Bromeliaceae
Description: long non-coding RNA (ACOM_LNC005347)
Source: RNAcentral